Molecule: ribosomal RNA, 253 nt
Filed under: uncultured bacterium
Lineage: Bacteria
Description: partial 16S ribosomal RNA
Rfam family: Bacterial small subunit ribosomal RNA
Source: RNAcentral
GACGUAGGGGGCCAGCGCUGCUCGGAAUUACUGGGGGUAAAGGGUUCGUAGGCGGUGUGGCAAGUCGGGAGUGAAAUCUCUGGGCUCAACCCAGAGUCUGCUUCCGAAACUGCUGUGCUUGAGUGUGGGAGAGGCGCGUGGAAUUGCAGGUGUAGCGGUGAAAUGCGUAGAUAUCUGCAGGAACACCCGUGGCGAAAGCGGCGCGCUGGACCACUACUGACGCUGAGGAACGAAAGCUAGGGGAGCAAACAGG